Long non-coding RNA from Mus caroli (Ryukyu mouse), 479 nucleotides. RefSeq lists it as uncharacterized. The record is from RefSeq and is a predicted model, not a curated record. NCBI's taxonomy places the organism in Eukaryota, Metazoa, Chordata, Mammalia, Rodentia, Muridae.
CAGUUAGGACCUUAGACCACACACUUUCAGACGUUGACAAAGACCCAGCUUAGCGUAACAAAGCAGAACUGGUAAUUUCAGGGCGCACACUGUGACCCUGUGCUUUGUGCUAAUGACCUCACCAAAUCCUCAUGUUGAUGCUUUGUGGUGUGGCAUUAUUGGCAUUUUACACAUGGGAAAAAAUCUACUCCUGAAGAAAUGAGGACCUCUGAGGAAAGCUACAGAGGGACCUCACAAAGGCUCCACACAGCAUCCGUCUCUGCCACUUACAUUCUGUCAGGUCUGCUGCUACUGUCUAAGAGGUAGAACAACCUGCACAGCAGCCUGAACUUGUUCAAAGAGGCUCCUCCUGUCCCAGGACCCUUGAAAGCUAGCAGAUCUCUGAGUCACUUGGCAUAUGGGCCAAAGAAGAGCACCCAGCACUAGAGACUUCUUCAGGAUUCCAGCACAUACUGAAGACCACUGGAGACGUCCAGGCA